This 482-nucleotide ribosomal RNA is filed under the name uncultured bacterium. RNAcentral describes it as "bacterial SSU rRNA". It matches the Rfam family "Bacterial small subunit ribosomal RNA", at positions 31 to 507 of the family's 1533-position model. The record is from RNAcentral.
GAACGCUAGCGGCAGGCUUAAUACAUGCAAGUCGUGGGGGCAGCAUGAGUAGCAAUACUUGAUGGCGACCGGCAAACGGGUGAGGAACACGUACACAACCUUCCUUCAAGCGGGGAAUAGCCCAGAGAAAUUUGGAUUAAUACCCCAUAAUAUAUUUGAUAAGGCAUCUUAUUAAUAUUAAAGCUUCGGCACUUGAUGAUGGGUGUGCGGCUGAUUAGAUAGUUGGCGGGGUAACGGCCCACCAAGUCUACGAUCAGUAGCUGAUGUGAGAGCAUGAUCAGCCACACGGGCACUGAGACACGGGCCCGACUCCUACGGGAGGCAGCAGUAAGGAAUAUUGGACAAUGGACGAAAGUCUGAUCCAGCCAUGCCGCGUGAAGGAUUAAGGUCCUCUGGAUUGUAAACUUCUUUUAUAUGGGACGAAAAAGGGCAUUCUUGUUCACUUGACGGUACCAUAUGAAUAAGCACCGGCUAACUCCGUG